This 681-nucleotide small RNA is filed under the name Caenorhabditis elegans. RNAcentral describes it as "Unclassified non-coding RNA K01G5.13". Lineage: Eukaryota; Metazoa; Nematoda; Chromadorea; Rhabditida; Rhabditidae. The record is from RNAcentral.
AAGGACAACGUGUUCAUGGUGGAAAAAGUGCUGGACAAGCGAACUGGAAAAGCCGGCAGAGACGAAUUUCUCAUACAGUGGCAAGGAUUCCCCGAGUCUGACUCUAGCUGGGAGCCGAGAGAGAAUCUCCAGUGCGUCGAGAUGUUGGACGAGUUUGAGAGGGAAUUUUCAAAGGUUUUGAAGAAUUUUUUAAAGUUUAUUUUACUUGAAAUGGUCCUAAAAAGCGAAUUUCAUAGUGAAAAUUGUUUGAAAAAUCUUCGAUUUUGCCCACUUUUCCGUGCUGCAACUGUUUAAAUUAGAUUUUUGUUCGAUUAUUCUCCUAUUUUCACACGGAAAAGCUGGUAAACUUGAAGAUUUUAACUAAAAUUAGGUUUUUUAGAGUUAAAAUUACAAAGUCAUAAAAUCCGAUUUUUCUGCAACAAACUUAUUUUAUUUUUACAGAGAGAGAAACCAAUUCGCAAACGACACAGCCAGAAGCCCGAACCUUCCGAAGAUCAAGCGGAUCCAGAAGAGGAUAAAGAUGAAAAGAAGGAAACGAAUCAAAAUGACAAAUUCUCACUGGAAGGCAAGCAGUUAAAAUGCAUUGUCGGGCUCACCAAGGGACCUGGGGAACUUCAUUUUCUGUGCAAAUUCAGUGAUGACACGGCACGGCUUCUUCCAGCGAAGGAGGUGAACAGUCGG